UACGUAGGUGGCGAGCGUUGUCCGGAUUUGCUGGGUGUAGAGGGCGUGUAGCCGGGAAGGCAAGUCAGGUGUGUAAUCUGGGGGCUCAACCUCCAAACUGCAUCUGAAACUGCUUUUCUUGAGUAUCGGAGAGGUAAUCGGAAUUCCUAGUGUAGCGGUGAAAUGCGUAGAUAUUAGGAAGAACACCAGUGGCGAAGGCGGAUUACUGGACGACAACUGACGGUGAGGCGCGAAAGCGUGGGGAGCAAACAGGAUUAGAUACCCUGGUA
Molecule: ribosomal RNA, 269 nt
Filed under: uncultured prokaryote
Description: partial 16S ribosomal RNA
Rfam family: Bacterial small subunit ribosomal RNA
Source: RNAcentral